UGCCUCAUUGUGUAAUGGUAGCACAGCAGAUUCUGGUUCUGUAUGUCAGGGUUCGAGUCCUUGUGAGGCAACAA
This 74-nucleotide transfer RNA is filed under the name Bacteroidales bacterium. RNAcentral describes it as "tRNA-Gln". It matches the Rfam family "tRNA". Rfam says of the family: Transfer RNA (tRNA) molecules are approximately 80 nucleotides in length. The record is from RNAcentral. Lineage: Bacteria; Pseudomonadati; Bacteroidota; Bacteroidia; Bacteroidales.